Molecule: ribosomal RNA, 253 nt
Filed under: uncultured bacterium
Lineage: Bacteria
Description: partial 16S ribosomal RNA
Rfam family: Bacterial small subunit ribosomal RNA
Source: RNAcentral
UACGGAGGGUGCAAGCGUUAUCCGGAAUCACUGGGUUUAAAGGGUCCGUAGGCGGUCUUAUAAGUCAGUGGUGAAAUCUCCCCGCUCAACGGGGAAACGGCCAUUGAUACUGUAGGACUUGAAUUAUAAGGAAGUAACUAGAAUAUGUAGUGUAGCGGUGAAAUGCUUAGAGAUUACAUGGAAUACCAAUUGCGAAGGCAGGUUACUACUUAUGGAUUGACGCUGAUGGACGAAAGCGUGGGUAGCGAACAGG